AGAUUGAACGCUGGCAGCAUGCCUUACACAUGCAAGUCGAACGGCAGCACGGGAGCAAUCCUGGUGGCGAGUGGCGAACGGGUGAGUAAUACAUCGGAGCGUGCCCAGUAGUGGGGGGAUAACCCGGCGAAAGCCGGACUAAUACCGCAUACGACCUACGGGUGAAAGCAGGGGAUCGCAAGACCUUGCGCUAUUGGAGCGGCCGAUGUCAGAUUAGCUUGGUUGGCGGGGUAAAAGCCCACCAAGGCGACGAUCUGUAGCUGGUCUGAGAGGACGACCAGCCACACUGGGACUGAGACACGGCCCAGACUCCUACGGGAGGCAGCAGUGGGAAUUUUGGACAAUGGGCGCAAGCCUGAUCCAGCCAUGCCGCGUGCGGGAGAAGGCCUUCGGUUGUAAACGCUUUGUCGGGAAGAAAGCCAGUGGUAAUACCUGUGUUCUGACGUACCGAAAGAAUAGACACCGUACUAAC
This 472-nucleotide ribosomal RNA is filed under the name uncultured soil bacterium. Its description in RNAcentral is "bacterial SSU rRNA". It matches the Rfam family "Bacterial small subunit ribosomal RNA", at positions 26 to 501 of the family's 1533-position model. The record is from RNAcentral.